GUGUCAGUUCUCUGGUGGGGGGCACUGGAAGCAGAGGAAGAACAGUGGAGCUUUUGAUAGUAGUACUUUGCCAACACAAGGACUUGUACCUACAUAUGUGUGAUUGUUACUGGCUUACUAACAAAUUUGGGACUUGGCAAAUGCUCUGAUUUUAUUUUUUAUUUUUUAUUUUGGUACUGGG
Long non-coding RNA from Perognathus longimembris pacificus (Pacific pocket mouse), 181 nucleotides. RefSeq lists it as uncharacterized. The transcript has 3 exons. The record is from RefSeq and is a predicted model, not a curated record. Lineage: Eukaryota; Metazoa; Chordata; Mammalia; Rodentia; Heteromyidae.